AGCGAACGCUGGCGGCAUGCCUAACACAUGCAAGUCGCACGGGGGGGCUUCGGCCUCCCAGUGGCGGACGGGUGAGGAACGCGUAGGGACCUGUCGAGGGGUGGGGGAUAACCGCGGGAAACUGCGGCUAAUACCGCAUGACGCCGCGGCGUGACAGCCGGGGCCAAAGGCGAAAGCCGCCCGCCGAGGGGCCUGCGUCCGAUUAGCUGGUUGGCGGGGUAGCGGCCCAGCAAGGCGUCGAUCGGUAGCUGGUCUGAGAGGGUGAUCAGCCACACCGGGAAUGAGACACGGCCCGGACUCGGACGGGAGGGAGCAGUGGGGAAUAUUGGACAAUGGGCGCAAGCCUGAUCCAGCAAUGCCGCGGGGGUGAAGAAGGGGGUCGGAUUGUAAAGCCCUUUGGGCGGGGACGAGGGUGACGGUACCCGCAGAAGAAGCCCCGGCUAACUUCGUG
RNAcentral lists this ribosomal RNA (451 nucleotides) under uncultured bacterium. RNAcentral's name for it is "partial 16S ribosomal RNA". It matches the Rfam family "Bacterial small subunit ribosomal RNA", at positions 30 to 507 of the family's 1533-position model. The record is from RNAcentral.